AUUAAAGAUUUAUCGGUGAUGGAUGGGGAUGCGUCUGAUUAGCUUGUUGGCGGGGUAACGGCCCACCAAGGCGACGAUCAGUAGGGGUUCUGAGAGGAAGGUCCCCCACAUUGGAACUGAGACACGGUCCAAACUCCUACGGGAGGCAGCAGUGAGGAAUAUUGGUCAAUGGGCGAGAGCCUGAACCAGCCAAGUAGCGUGCAGGAUGACGGCCCUAUGGGUUGUAAACUGCUUUUAUAAGGGAAUAAAGUGAGUCUCGUGAGACUUUUUGCAUGUACCUUAUGAAUAAGGACCGGCUAAUUCCGUGCCAGCAGCCGCGGUAAUACGGAAGGUCCGGGCGUUAUCCGGAUUUAUUGGGUUUAAAGGGAGCGUAGGCCGGAGAUUAAGCGUGUUGUGAAAUGUAGACGCUCAACGUCUGCACUGCAGCGCGAACUGGUUUCCUUGAGUACGCACAAAGUGGGCGGAAUUCGUGGUGUAGCGGUGAAAUGCUUAGAUAUCACGAAGAACUCCGAUUGCGAAGGCAGCUCACUGGAGCGCAACUGACGCUGAAGCUCGAAAGUGCGGGUAUCGAACAGGAUUAGAUACCCUGGUAGUCCGCACGGUAAACGAUGGAUGCCCGCUGUUGGUCUGAAUAGGUCAGCGGCCAAGCGAAAGCAUUAAGCAUCCCACCUGGGGAGUA
RNAcentral lists this ribosomal RNA (679 nucleotides) under uncultured bacterium. Its description in RNAcentral is "bacterial SSU rRNA". It matches the Rfam family "Bacterial small subunit ribosomal RNA", at positions 200 to 882 of the family's 1533-position model. The record is from RNAcentral.